AUGAACGCUGGCGGCGUGCCUAAUCCCUGCCAGUCGAGCGCACGGACGAGAAGCUUGCUUCUCUGAUGUUAGCGGCGGACGGGUGAGUAACCCGUGGAUAACCUACCUAUAAGACUGGGAUAACUUCGGGAAACCGGAGCUAAUACCGGAUGAUAUUUUGAACCGCAUGGUUCAAAAGUGAAAGACGGUCUUGCUGUCACUUAUAGAUGGAUCCGCGCUGCAUUAGCUAGUUGGUAAGGUAACGGCUUACCAAGGCAACGAUGCAUAGCCGACCUGAGAGGGUGAUCGGCCACACUGGAACUGAGACACGGUCCAGACUCCUACGGGAGGCAGCAGUAGGGAAUCUUCCGCAAUGGGCGAAAGCCUGACGGAGCAACGCCGCGUGAGUGAUGAAGGUCUUCGGAUCGUAAAACUCUGUUAUUAGGGAAGAACAUAUGUGUAAGUAACUGUGCACAUCUUGACGGUACCUAAUCAGAAAGCCACGGCUAACUACGUG
This 496-nucleotide ribosomal RNA is filed under the name uncultured bacterium. Its description in RNAcentral is "partial 16S ribosomal RNA". It matches the Rfam family "Bacterial small subunit ribosomal RNA", at positions 29 to 507 of the family's 1533-position model. The record is from RNAcentral.